GCCCGGGUGGUGGAAUUGGUAGACACGCAUGAUUCAGGUUCAUGUGGCUGCAAGGCUGUGCAGGUUCAAGUCCUGUUCCGGGCA
RNAcentral lists this transfer RNA (84 nucleotides) under Fidelibacterota bacterium. Its description in RNAcentral is "tRNA-Leu". It matches the Rfam family "tRNA". Rfam says of the family: Transfer RNA (tRNA) molecules are approximately 80 nucleotides in length. Their secondary structure includes four short double-helical elements and three loops (D, anti-codon, and T loops). The record is from RNAcentral. Lineage: Bacteria; Pseudomonadati; Fidelibacterota.